ACUACGGGAGGCAGCAGUGGGGAAUAUUGCGCAAUGGGCGAAAGCCUGACGCAGCGACGCCGCGUGAGGGAUGAAGGUCUUCGGAUCGUAAACCUCUGUCAGCAGGGAAGAACGGUCACUGUGCUAAUCAGCAGUGAAUUGACGGUACCGGCAAAGGAAGCACCGGCUAACCCCGUGCCAGCAGCCGCGGUAAUACGGAGGGGGCGAGCGUUAAUCGGAUUUACGGGGCGGAAAGCGCGCGUAGGCGGUAUGUCAAGUCAAGGGUGAAAUCCCCGCGCUCAACGUGGGAACUGCCUUUGACACUGGCAAACUGGCGUGUGUGAGAGGCUAGUGGAAUUCCAGGUGUCGGCGUGAAAUCCGUAGAUAUCUGGAGGAACAUCAGUGGCGACGGCGACUCUCUGGCACAUAACUGACGCUGUGGAGCG
This 425-nucleotide ribosomal RNA is filed under the name uncultured bacterium. RNAcentral describes it as "partial 16S ribosomal RNA". It matches the Rfam family "Bacterial small subunit ribosomal RNA", at positions 338 to 755 of the family's 1533-position model. The record is from RNAcentral.